UUGAAAGAUUUUUUUUAAGUGACAGAUUUCCUGGAAUUGUAUAACUCCUAUAGGUUUUACCGGGAUUUUUAAUAAACUUGCAUAAACUUUUAUUAUAGACUUCCAUACUUUUAUAUGAACUUUUGUUAAAGAUUCAGAUCAAUUUGCAUAGACAUUAUCACUUUUGUUACAAGCCUGCUGAACCACGCUUGCAGCUUGGGCAGCUGUAGAAGCACCGGAUACUUUCAAGAAUGGACCCCACAUGUUUUGGUUAUAUGAUUCAAGUGCGUUGAAACCUGCGGAGGUGGUGGAACUAUUUCUACAGCAAGAAAUGGUUCAUGGCAAUUGGGGCAAAGAAGAUUAUGAUUAAGGUUCAGCUGAGAAGUGUGUCAAGGUUCAGCUGAUUUCAUGCAGAAGAUUAGGCUAAAUUCUUGGUUGAAAAAGGUGUUGAAUUUUUUAUUAUAUUAUCACCGCCUCCAUAGUCACCCAGCACAGUACACGCCCUUUGUAUCCUAUUCACCAACCCGAUCAAGCUCUCCAUCGUCGUCAUUCA
Non-coding RNA from Prunus avium (sweet cherry), 532 nucleotides. NCBI's taxonomy places the organism in Eukaryota, Viridiplantae, Streptophyta, Magnoliopsida, Rosales, Rosaceae. The record is from RefSeq and is a predicted model, not a curated record.